Molecule: unclassified non-coding RNA, 244 nt
Filed under: uncultured Agrocybe
Lineage: Eukaryota; Fungi; Basidiomycota; Agaricomycetes; Agaricales; Bolbitiaceae
Description: sequence contains ITS1
Source: RNAcentral
UUGAAUAAACCUGGCGUGGUUGUAGCUGGUCCUCUCGGGGACAUGUGCUCGCCCGUCAUCUUUAUAUCUCCACCUGUGCACCCUUUGUAGACCUGGACGAUAACUUUCCGAGGCAACUCGGUCGGGAGGACUGCUGGCUUUCACGAGUCGGCUUUCCUUGUAUUAUCCAGGCCUAUGUCUUACACAUACCCCAAAGAAUGUAACAGAAUGUAUUGUAUAUGGCCUAGUGCCUAUAAACUAUAUA